GAAGGUAGCUUCUUACUGCCUUGUGAUUUCAGGCCCACAUUCUCAAAUUUUUCUUAGAAUUUUUAGAGGAGUAGCUGAUAGAGUUGAGUGAAGCAUCAAGAAAUCUGUCCAGCUGGAUGAAAACACUGAGAAUAUAAGAGCUGCGCUUUGAGGGAGGAUUUUUUGUUCUUCCUGUGUGUACUGAAGUAAGAAUGUAAUGAAAUCAUGCAUUUCUUCUAACCAGGCGAGUUGCUGGUUCAGUGAGUUGCUGGAGACUUGCCUAUGCUAGGCAUACAAGACCAGGCCUGCUUACAUUAGACGCAUGCCAAAAUUUCUGUGUAUAGCUGUAGAAAAAUUAGCACAGGUUACUACUGUUGAAGGAUUACACAAACAAGCAGGACUAAUGCUACUAUGAGUACCCUUGCCUGGACAGAACAGAAUCUCCUGUAAGGAAUACCUGACAAUAUGUGCCUCCUACGGGAGCGUGUGCCUACUUCUUGACCUUGUUCAGUGUAAACUGAGAGAAAGAAGGAUUUUCUGUUUCAGGUACCUGUCACAAGAACCCAAAAAUGACCAAGUGCUGUGCAGAACUAAUGUAACUGUGAUGUCUUCAGCCAUCUCCUAGUCAGAGGCCAAGAACUGUCCAGAACCUGAAGAAGUACAUCUGAGGAGUCAUAGACCUUAAAGAAUUAGAGAUCUUGCAUUAAAGUGUGAUAUGGAGAAGGCCUUACAGGUACUCUUAAUACCUUAUUAAGUAAGGUGAUGGCAUGUUUCACCUUUCCGUUUUAAAUCAAAAAUUGUUAACAGUGGACCUAAGGCAAAGCUAGUUUGCAGCUAGAUUAAAGGAUGCAGUUUCACUUUGUAAUCAGAUUACAGUUUCUUCAGUUUAACAAUGCAAUUGAGGUCUCAUUUUUAUUAAUAUUUAGAAGGAAAAUUUCAGAAAAAAUAUAAAUAAGCAUCCAAAACUGAAGUACCUUCUUUUACUUUAUUUGAUUUUGGAAGGAGAGUAACAGUGAUUAAGGAACUUCUACUGAAAACAUCAGUACCUUCUCAAAACAAAAGCUCAAUCUGAAUACAAAGUUCACAGCUGAAGAUUUUUAUGCUGAAGCUCAGAUGCCUGCAGCAUUGAACGGUCUGGCUUAUUUUCAGUUGCGCUCAAGCAAUUCAGUCUGCUUUUCAGAAGGAUAUUUUUUGUGAUCUUAAAGAAGAGCUACUUUUAAUUGAUGUUUCUAGUACCUACUGUUCUUUAUCACGUGAUACAGAUUUUACAGGAUCUUUAUACUCAGGAGUUGCAUUGCCACUAUGAGGGUUAUACUCAGUUCCUGGUGGAAUCUCUUGCAAGGCCUCUUCUCCAAAGAGGUUUUUGAUUCUCUCCUGUGAGUGGAUAGGUAAGAAAGAAGCUUUCCCACUCACUAUUCAAAACCUAAAAAAGUUUUGUACCUGAAUUAUAAAAGAUGCCAGUAAAAGAUAUUAAAGUUUUGUUCUUUAGGUUUAAUCAGUUUGUUUAUAGAUGGCCUUUCUUUCAUAUGAGGGCAAAAACCGAAAAGUUAAUUUGUAUUUUUCUAUCCCACAUUUCUGUCAAUGUAUUGCAUGUUGUUAGAAUGCUGCAAGCACUUCUGGGGAAUUAUUUUUUUUUUCCUUAUUUGAAAAUAGUUUUUCUUAGUGUUGUGAAAAUUCAGCUACAGAGUGUGCAUUUCGGACUGUGGUCUGUUAAGGGUUAAGAAAAAUGCAGUUCCUAAAAGUAUUAUUAUUUUUCCCUUUUAUGGAUGAGCACCAGCCUUUAAGACAUCAGUGUAAAUAGAGUUUCCUGUUCCAGGGAAGUUUGGCUACUGCAGGAGCCCAGAGGUCCUUUGGGAAAAGCUUGAUAGUAGAACUGAGGGAAACACAUUUUGCAGCCCUUUUGUGCAAUCUCAAGUCCCAUAAGCACUUCUGGGAAAGUAAACCCUUCAUCAUACACACAGUAUUUAUUGCUAAAGCUUGCUAAUGGUUUUCAGAAGUUACUUUGUUAUCUGCAGAUCUGUGACUUCUAUCCUUGAAGCUUGUUGUGACUUCAAAAACCUGCAGAUUUGCAGAAAUGCUGAGCAGAAAUAGGAAUGCUGAACACUUCUCUGUGACCAGUUGGCAUCUUGCAGAAUGCAGUACUACAGCCAGUUUGGCAUUCAGCAUUUUUAGGAAAUCUCUUAAGAAAAUAUACUUGAAUUCCUACCUGAACUCUGUGCCAUCAGCAAAUUUCAUUUAUCAGGACCGUGUACUAAUUUAUUCAGAAAUGGUAUUGAUUCUUUUCUCCUGCUUUGCUCACCUUCUCCCAUUCACAUCUGAGAAAAAUUUGUGCAUGUUGAGAGGGAAUGAGGAAAGCAAGCUGUGUGGGUGAGAUAACUCAAUAUGAUGGAGAACAGCUACUGCACAUUUAUGUUACUGAGGUUCCUUGGGUGAUUACUACUUGCCUGUAUCUUUAUCUUCGUCAGACCAAGUUUCAUUUGGAUCUCUGCCACAGAUUUUCCAAUAUGACUUGAGGUGAAUCAUCUAAUUCUAUUCUAUAUCAUUAAAAAAGAAGCACUAAUUGGAUCUUUACUGGAUUUACUGGAUGUAAGUUGGCAAAGAAAUGUCCCAGAUGAAACCUGUAGGCACUGCCGUAAAGUAAGCAGUUGAAAUGUUAUAACAACUUGGACUAUUUGAAAAAUAACACUUAAUUGUUAAUUUAAUGUCUCCAUUUGUCUUUGUAUUUCCAUUUGAUUUCCACUUUUGAAUAUCAAAAGUAACAGUUUUUUAAAAGUGAACAUUAUAGAAAAGCUCAAAGGAAGUAUAUUUUGAAAAAAUUAAAAAAAAUAUUGGCUAUGGGGAUCAGAAUGAAAUAACGCAUUCCCUCUUUGUUAUUAUUCUUGCUUUGUGUUGCAAGUUAUCAUUUGGAAGUCUGGAGUAUAGCUUUCAUAAUGAGAAAUUAACUCCGUUAAAUUGCCACAGUUUGAUAAUUAAACAAGUAUUACUUUUAAUGGCCUAAACUUGAAAAAGUAAUUUUCUCUCUCAUUCCGUGAAGUUGUUUCAGGUAUGCUAGGCAGCUGAUGUGUAACUGUUACUCAUGUAAAGCAAAACACUGGGUGUGUGCUAUCUGAAGACCUCCAUAAAUCAACAAAGCUAUACAUAGCGCAGUCUGAUGUAGAUACCAGCUGAUAUUUCUGCAAAGACACUCCAAAUGAGAGAGGAAAUUUCACACUUCCUUAUUAUUCCAACAUGCUGAGCUUGCUUGCUAUUCAAUCAAAGUUUUCCAAGUUUUGUUUAGCAUAGUGGUGGUGUUUGGCUGGUUACAGUGGCAGGUACCACUUGUUCCAAGAUUGUUGUUAGCUGUGAGUUUUUUGAUCAUGCUGCAUGUCUGCAAAACUCCAAUUUUAUUAUAUGAGGUAUAUUAAUCAAGUUAUUUCCUUUUAAGCAGCCCAACUACAUCCCGUUUUGAUGAGCCGGUAUUAAAAGCCCGUAUUGUAAUGGAUGGUUGCACAGAGACUGUGCCACUUUUGUGUAUGGAAUUUGGAGAGCUCUACUUUUGGAAUCUGGCAGGUAGAAAGGGGAACUGAGCCUAAGCAUUGCACUGCUUUAGAUUUCUCUUGUGUGUUCAGUGCCAUUCAUGUUGUCAGAAAUCAGUCAGCUUCUGCAAACUCAGGUAAUCUAAGCUGAAAAUUAAUGCAAAGAAAGAAAAGUAGUAGAAACAAAGCAGUGAUAGGAAAGAGAUGUAAUAAUGAGUAAAGGUUAUUAUGUAAUUAUUAUGUAAUAAAAAUAUUGUGUAACUACUAAAAAAGAUAUGUAAUAAAGAGAAAAUAGACAUACUUUGCACUCUAGUGGAAAAAAAUGUGAUGUUGGAGUAGCAGUGAACAAAAAGAAAGCAAAAUCAGAAUAGUCACAUUAGUGACCAUAAUAGACAAAGGUUUCCAUGUGUUUUGAUAGUGAUUAGAUAAGUUAGUAAAAAAUUUACUUGCUAUCUAAAAAGUGAUCCAGUCUCUCCCUUCCCAAAAGUAAUGAUAUUCAUGGAUCUUUUUGUAGUUUUAGCCAAAUGCUGUGUAGUGCCUGAUGUAUAUGAUUAUAAAAGAUGAGUUAAUUUGGUUAAAUUAGGUAAUAGGAUCUUAGGUAAAAGUUGUGUUGACUCAAGACCACAGAGGGGUACAAAUCAUGCUCAUCUCUAAAAGCUGAGGCUGACAAAGUUUAUCAAACAACCCAAAGAGUAAGUGAAAGUAAAUGAAAAAUACAUCCAACAUAUGUAUAAAAAUGCACACAUGCAAUCACAAAAAAAGAAAAAAUUAAUGUUAAGAUAAUGUCAUUAAAAAUGAACAUAAGAUCCUUUCUAUUCCUUUAUGAAAAUUAUUGUGAGAUUAAUAAGAUGGUGCAGCUGGUAGAAAAAAAAAUUGUAUCAGGAAGUCAACAGUGAUUCAGAGUAUGAGAUUUUUGCUGGUAUAGAUUAUUGUAAUAUAAAAAUAUGUGCUUUUGGAGCUGUGGACUAACAACUUAUCAAAUACAAAUGCAAGAAGUAAAUGUAAAUGAACAAGAGACGGAAUCCUAAAUUACCAGUACCUUUAUUGAGUUGCAGAGACUCCUUCAGCGUGAUGUAUCUCCAAAAAGGAAACUGCAAAGGACAGUGUUAAAGCUACGUAACUCAAUGUUAUGGAACGAAGAAGGCAAUAGAAAUUACAGGGUGAAUAAAUCUGAAACUUCAGGCAGUGAAGAUAGAUUGAUAAAAACAGUCUUUUGAGAUAAAUGUGCAAAUCCUAUGUCAUGCAAAUUGGUGGUAAUUGUUAAUGUCAUAGGGGCCAGCACAGUAAUAAAUACAUCUAGAAAAGAUGCUUUUGCACUGCUAGACACUACAUUUUAUUACACAGGUGUUCCAGAUUAUGAGGAUAUGUUUGAAUGUCCAGGAAAUGCCGAUGCCACCCAGUAUGAAAAUAUUUGGAAGUGAUUUAAGUGACACAAGUACAAUGUAACUCUUCGAAGUUAGGUCUUAGGGGAGCAUCUUGCUAAAGGCACAGACAAUUGCUUUGAUAAAAAUUUAUCUUUUCCAAAAAAUGUCUUAGAAAAUGCUGAUUACACAACCAAGUUCAACAAAUAUUCUAAAGUGGAAACUGAGGGGAAAAAAAAAGUGUCUGUAGAUAACUACAAAAUAUUUUUACCUAGCAAGCUUUGCAGCAAGAAAUACAACAACAAAUAUAAGAUCUUUGUUGUGUUAGGUGAAUGCUUUACUUAUCCUUCUGUGCAUUUCCACAUCAAACUCUAGAGACAACCUGAGAAACUGUAGAAGGUCACUAUUAACCAAUGCUAAUGUGGCUUUUGUCAAAUAAGACAUAUGGAACAGCUGAACAAGUCUGCAACUUGAACUUAAAUGAUACCACCACAGAGAAUAGGUAUUAUUCACGGAUUGUGCAGAAAUUCUCCUGAAAGUACACGUAUGUGCUAUCCUAAGGUAGAUUUGUAUCUGGAAAACCAGAGUUAUUUGGAAUGACGGAAUGUUAGAAAGAUAACGGACAGCUCUGAUAAUGUAUAGAAAAGUGCAACAAAGAAAUAAGAAUAUAAAGAAUUCUCAAAAAGCUAGAUAGCAGCAUAAUGAGAGACACUGCAGAAUUCUGCCUGCCUGUAGUUCAAAAUCCAAAUGGAAAUUUAGCACAUACUAUCUAAGCUAGAGAAAACAAAUUUCUGGCAUUUUUCUGAGACCAGACACGUGGGUUUUUUUACAUUGGGAGCUCCCUGUGAGUUAGGAAUACAGAUUUUUAAGAUUCUGUAAAGGAAAACAAGGAAAAUACAAAACAUUCAAAAAAAAAAAAAAAA
This is a long non-coding RNA of Numida meleagris (helmeted guineafowl), 5778 nucleotides long. RefSeq lists it as uncharacterized. The record is from RefSeq and is a predicted model, not a curated record. The transcript has 3 exons. Lineage: Eukaryota; Metazoa; Chordata; Aves; Galliformes; Numididae.